Long non-coding RNA from Artibeus jamaicensis (Jamaican fruit-eating bat), 1815 nucleotides. RefSeq lists it as uncharacterized. Lineage: Eukaryota; Metazoa; Chordata; Mammalia; Chiroptera; Phyllostomidae. The transcript has 3 exons. The record is from RefSeq and is a predicted model, not a curated record.
UGGGCCGCAGGGCUCUCCGCCCCGGGCUGCUGCGCACCGAGCCCGCGGCCUCGCCGGCGGGAGCCGGGCCUCUGCCUUUAUUUGGUUCAGCCCGCCGGACUGGCGUCAGAGCCUCCACGUGCCUCCGGGCCGUGGUCCCCUAAUUAUAGCAGCGGCAGCUGCGCGGGCCCGGCUGGCGCUUGGGGACCCUCCGGGUCUCGGGACUUGGGGCGGAGGGGGCGGGUUGGCCCCGGGUCCCACCCAGCGAGUCCCCCGCCGCCAGGCCCCAAGUGCCCCAGCAGAAGCAGGGCGAGGCGCUGUUUUGGCGCGUGCAGCCCAGGAAAAGUUCUAGAACCAGUCAGUCCCGGACGCACUGGAAACCGCAGGCGAUGGAAGUAAGAUCGCCUCUUCCCCUUCCCUUCCCUUCCAGUAAACAGGGCUGGGCAGCGCUGGCAGCUGUUUUCAUCCUUAAAGGGGAGGGGGGGAGGAGGCGAGUGGCGGUGAAACCCUUCUGAGCAACAGUGACAAGUAAAAAAAAAAAAAAGAAAACUACAAUUUAACCAUUCCGACCUCACCUCCGGUGUUUUCAACUAGCCGGUGAUUUGUGUGAAGAUAGUGGCUCCCGCGUGAUAGGUGCAUGCAGAGUGAACCUGGUGACACCACCUUGGACUUGGGACUGCGCUCCCAGUUCGCAGACCCACCGGGGUCCCACGUGCAGAUACUAGGAAAAGACUCAGUGCUCCGUGGGAGAAGUUACCGUAACUUUGCUUCCCAGCCUCCUGGAAGGAAAACAAACUCUUGGAGGCGGUGAACCCUGGCCACUACGCGCCCUUAAACACGCUGCCACGCCUACCUGUGGCGGACCUUCAGUGCCAAAGCCCAAAGGAUUCGCCUCACUUAAUGUAGGUGUCAGAUAAUCACAGAGACAACUGUGUAGGGCUGAUCGAGAGAGCAUUAUUCUGGAACUGUUACCCUCCUGUGACAUUCGGAUUUCAAUGAUAUGUGGGGUACAGGUAUAAACAAAGACAGCUGCCACAUCAAGAGUCUGUUGUGUUUUUUGCUUCUUUUUUAACUGGAAACUGAAUGCAAUCAGCUUUCUGAAGGACGGGCUUUUUCUCCUCUCGUUGCCAGUGCAGGUCACUGGGCCCCACAGAGCUGCACUCCACAGCUGCCCAGAGAGCAGCAGCACAUCUUGAGUCUCUGCGAUGCCGUCACUGUUUUCUCCCUCCAGCCCGCUAUUGCAGCAUCGCUGGCUCUACUGCAAGUGGAACAAUAAACAAGUGCUUUCUGCCCGGACUUUGCUCCGCUCCUCACUUUAUGUUUGCCCUACCCAGUUGCCCUUUCCCCAGGCCCUAGCCCUUUUUUUUUCCUACCACCAGUUGGCCUUUUUUGUUGUGUCUUUUAUCUCCUGUCCUGCAGCUCCAAGUCAAACCCCAAACCCAAACCCCACACACCCUUUACUCGCUCGCGCUGCCUUCAGGGAUUCAAGGGAUAGCCAGCCAUUCUAACCUUACUUUGAAAAAUUAAAAAAGGCCUCAGAAAAUGUUCAGUGCUCCCAAUUUUAUUUUUAUUUAAUGCUAAAAGUUAAAGAAAAAAAAAGUAUUGUAAAUCUGACACAUGACAGAAUGCAGGUGAUAUUUCCAUAGCGUGAUUUUAAAAUAUAAUAAUGUUGAUUAUCUGAGAUUACACUCACUUCAGUUAACAUGAGUUUCAUCAUAUAUAGAAAAAGUAUCACCUUUAACUUAAAAAAAAAAUAAAGUGAAGGUUAAAAGGUGGCACACUUUUUAAAAUACUUGGCGGCCAAGAAAAUGUAUAGAAUAAAAGUUGUAAACCAUG